CAAUCCAUUAGCUAGACAUGCUCACACACUUACUUGGAUUUGGAUGGUCUAUAAAUAGGAUCAAUCCAUUAGCUAGACAUGCUCACACACUUACUUGGAUUUGGAUGGUCUAUAAAUAGGAACGAGGUACGUAGAGAAGGUCCGCACAAUCAAAUAAAAACCGAAAUCAUGAAGGCCAAUCUAUUUAUAAUAAUCUGCCUUCUCUUGGCAUCCGCACUCUUCAUUCCUUCUCCAAUUUCAGCUAGACAAUUAGCUGAAAAACCUCAUUUGACUCCUGGAACCAAGAAUCCAGGCAAGCCAGCAGUGCCAUGUGAUCCUAGCAAUAGAUAUACGACGUGUUACCCCUCAAGGCCGCCAUCAUGUAACCCGUACACGCGUAAGUGCCCACCUGUCGGAAGGCGUUUGAGAUAAGAAGCAUGUCCACUACUGCUUAAGAAGACUAUUAUAUAUAUAUAUAUAUAUAUAUGGUUUUUGGGGCUUUAUUAUUAUGAUUGCUUUGAUCAUGUGUACUCAGAAUUAAACCUACUUUUCUUUUCUUUUUUUUCCUUGCAAUAAUUAAUGAACUCCAAGAACCUCUACAGUUUGAUGUAAUGUAUGCAAAAUAAAAGAGCUGACAGAGUCAGUUGGUAUAUAUAUUGAAAGGACUUUAUUAUAAUUCUAUA
Long non-coding RNA from Corylus avellana, 662 nucleotides. RefSeq lists it as uncharacterized. The record is from RefSeq and is a predicted model, not a curated record. Lineage: Eukaryota; Viridiplantae; Streptophyta; Magnoliopsida; Fagales; Betulaceae.